This is a long non-coding RNA of Carassius carassius (crucian carp), 507 nucleotides long. RefSeq lists it as uncharacterized. Lineage: Eukaryota; Metazoa; Chordata; Actinopteri; Cypriniformes; Cyprinidae. The transcript has 3 exons. The record is from RefSeq and is a predicted model, not a curated record.
ACAUUAGACUUUCUCUGUAAAGAUUUAUUUAUAUAUUUAUGUUUAUUGUUUUACAGUGUUUUAACAUGUUUCUGUAUUUUUCAUGUUUCUGAUAUUUUGGAAUGACUGAAGAUCAGUGCAGAAUUCAAUAAUCUUGUGGAUGGACCGCAGCGAGUCCUUUUGCAGUUGAAUCCAUCAAAAUGCUAUCCAGACAUAAUGGAAAUGACAUUCACAUUGUCGAGCUUAGACAAAGUUCACCCAGUUUCGGCGCAGGAAUUCAUCAAGGACAUGGCUGUUGGGAUCACUGUUGUGGAUGACCAAUCUGAGCAGCAUCAGUCCGCAGUGCUGUGGUUCAGCCAUCCAGUGACAUUAAGGAUGUUGAGAAAGAAAUUGAAGAGGGCAUUCUGAUUGUAACUGAGGAGCAUCAAUGUGAUGUGCUUCCCAAGGAAUAACCAACAUUUCUUUCAUUUGGACAUCCUGUCAUCACUGACAUCUCCCAUGUCCCCAAGGUGUUUGGACUCCUAAUAG